AAAAUAACGGGAGGCAGCAGUGGGGAAUAUUGGACAAUGGACCAAGAGUCUGAUCCAGCAAUUCUGUGUGCACGAUGACGUUUUUCGGAAUGUAAAGUGCUUUCAGUUGGGAAGAAAAAAUGACGGUACCAACAGAAGAAGUGACGGCUAAAUACGUGCCAGCAGCCGCGGUAAUUUUU
RNAcentral lists this ribosomal RNA (179 nucleotides) under uncultured bacterium. Its description in RNAcentral is "partial 16S ribosomal RNA". It matches the Rfam family "Bacterial small subunit ribosomal RNA", at positions 333 to 528 of the family's 1533-position model. The record is from RNAcentral.